Molecule: ribosomal RNA, 253 nt
Filed under: uncultured bacterium
Lineage: Bacteria
Description: partial 16S ribosomal RNA
Rfam family: Bacterial small subunit ribosomal RNA
Source: RNAcentral
UACGUAGGUGGCAAGCGUUGUCCGGAAUUAUUGGGCGUAAAGCGCGCGCAGGCGGUCCUUUAAGUCUGAUGUGAAAGCCCACGGCUCAACCGUGGAGGGUCAUUGGAAACUGGGGGACUUGAGUGCAGGAGAGAAGAGUGGAAUUCCACGUGUAGCGGUGAAAUGCGUAGAGAUGUGGAGGAACACCAGUGGCGAAGGCGACUCUCUGGAACGCAACUGACGCUGAGACGCGAAAGCGUGGGGAGCAAACAGG